This 253-nucleotide ribosomal RNA is filed under the name uncultured bacterium. Its description in RNAcentral is "partial 16S ribosomal RNA". It matches the Rfam family "Bacterial small subunit ribosomal RNA", at positions 524 to 776 of the family's 1533-position model. The record is from RNAcentral.
UACAGAGGUCCCAAGCGUUGUUCGGAUUCACUGGGCGUAAAGGGUGCGUAGGUGGUCGGGUAAGUUUGAUGUGAAAUCUCCGGGCUUAACCCGGAAAUGGCAUUGAAUACUAUUCGGCUAGAGAGUUGGAGGGGGGACUGGAAUUCUCGGUGUAGCAGUGAAAUGCGUAGAUAUCGAGAGGAACACCAGUGGCGAAGGCGCGUCCCUGGACAACUUCUGACACUGAGGCACGAAAGCUAGGGGAGCAAACAGG